AUAUUGGACAAUGGGGGGAACCCUGAUCCAGCCAUGCCGCGUGAGCGAAGAAGGUCUUCGGAUCGUAAAGCUCUGUCAAACAGGAAGAAGAGCCAUGAGAGGGAAUGCUCAUGGAGUGACGGUACUGUAAGAGGAAGCCCCGGCUAACUACGUGCCAGCAGCCGCGGUAAUACGUAGGGGGCAAGCGUUGGCCGGAAUUAUUGGGCGUAAAGCGCGCGCAGGCGGUCUAGAAAGUCGGAUGUGAAAUCUCGGGGCUCACCCCCGAGCGUGCAUACGAAACUUCCAGACUUGAGAGCAAGAGAGGGGAGUGGAAUUCCUAGUGUAGCGGUGAAAUGCGUAGAUAUUAGGAGGAACACCAGUGGCGAAGGCGACUCCCUGGCUUGCAACUGACGCUGAGGCGCGAAAGCGUGGGUAGCGAACAGG
Molecule: ribosomal RNA, 423 nt
Filed under: uncultured bacterium
Lineage: Bacteria
Description: partial 16S ribosomal RNA
Rfam family: Bacterial small subunit ribosomal RNA
Source: RNAcentral